This is a small nuclear RNA of Sphaerodactylus townsendi, 111 nucleotides long. RefSeq annotates it as U5 spliceosomal RNA. The record is from RefSeq and is a predicted model, not a curated record. The transcript has a single exon. Lineage: Eukaryota; Metazoa; Chordata; Lepidosauria; Squamata; Sphaerodactylidae.
AUACUCUGAUUUCUCUUCAAAUCGCAUAAAUCUUUCACCUUUCACUAAAGAUUUCCGUGGAGAGGAUUUUAUAUCAAUUGUAUUUUAUUGGUUCUGGUGGAUUUUCCAGGC